RNAcentral lists this ribosomal RNA (497 nucleotides) under uncultured bacterium. RNAcentral describes it as "partial 16S ribosomal RNA". It matches the Rfam family "Bacterial small subunit ribosomal RNA", at positions 28 to 507 of the family's 1533-position model. The record is from RNAcentral.
GACGAACGCUGGCGGCGUGCCUAAUACAUGCAAGUAGAACGCUGAAGCGAGGAGCUUGCUCUUCUUGGAUGAGUUGCGAACGGGUGAGUAACGCGUAGGUAACCUGCCUUGUAGCGGGGGAUAACUAUUGGAAACGAUAGCUAAUACCGCAUAACAAUGGAUGACACAUGUCAUUUAUUUGAAAGUGGCAAUUGCUCCACUACAAGAUGGACCUGCGUUGUAUUAGCUAGUAGGUGAGGUAAUGGCUCACCUAGGCGACGAUACAUAGCCGACCUGAGAGGGUGAUCAGCCACACUGGGACUGAGACACGGCACAGACGCAUACGGGAGGGAGCAGUAGGGAAACUUGGGCAAUGGGGGCAACCCAGACCGAGAAACGCCGCGUGAGUGAAGAAGGUUUUCGGAUCGUAAAGCACGGUUGUAAGUCAAGAACGGGUGUGAGAGUGGAAAGUUCACACUGUGACGGUAGCGUACCAGAAAGGGACGGCUAACUACGUG